GUCGAACGGCAGCACAGCAGUAGCAAUACUGUGGGUGGCGAGUGGCGGACGGGUGAGUAAUGCAUCGGGACCUACCUAGACGUGGGGGAUAACGUAGGGAAACUUACGCUAAUACCGCAUACGUCCUACGGGAGAAAGCAGGGGACCUUCGGGCCUUGCGCGGUUAGACGGACCGAUGUUCGAUUAGCUAGUUGGUAGGGUAAUGGCCUACCAAGGCGACGAUCGAUAGCUGGUCUGAGAGGAUGAUCAGCCACACUGGAACUGAGACACGGUCCAGACUCCUACGGGAGGCAGCAGUGGGGAAUAUUGGACAAUGGGCGCAAGCCUGAUCCAGCAAUGCCGCGUGUGUGAAGAAGGCCUUCGGGUUGUAAAGCACUUUUAUCAGGAGCGAAACGCUGUCGGCUAAUACCCGGCGGAACUGACGGUACCUGAGGAAUAAGCACCGGCUAACUUCGUGCCAGCAGCCGCGGUAAUACGAAGGGUGCAAGCGUUAAUCGGAAUUACUGGGCGUAAAGCGUGCGUAGGCGGUUUGUUAAGUCUGUUGUGAAGUCCCCGGGCUCAACCUGGGAAUGGCAAUGGAUACUGGCAAGCUAGAGUGUGAUAGAGGAUGGUGGAAUUCCCGGUGUAGCGGUGAAAUGCGUAGAGAUCGGGAGGAACAUCAGUGGCGAAGGCGGCCAUCUGGAUCAACACUGACGCUGAGGCACGAAAGCGUG
Molecule: ribosomal RNA, 713 nt
Filed under: uncultured Gammaproteobacteria bacterium
Lineage: Bacteria; Pseudomonadati; Pseudomonadota; Gammaproteobacteria
Description: bacterial SSU rRNA
Rfam family: Bacterial small subunit ribosomal RNA
Source: RNAcentral